CAAAAACAUCGCCUCCUGCAAAAAUCAACGUAUAAGAGGUCCUACCUGCCCAGUGACUAAGUUAAACGGCCGCGGUAUUUUGACCGUGCAAAGGUAGCGCAAUCACUUGUCUUUUAAAUAAAGACCUGUAUGAAUGGUGAAACGAGGGCUUAACUGUCUCCCUUUUCUGAUCAGUGAAAUUGAUCUACCCGUGCAGAAGCGGGUAUAAAUAUACAAGACGAGAAGACCCUAUGGAGCUUUAGACAGAAAGUCAUCUAUGUUAAAAACCCCUAAUAAAAGAAGUAAAACAAAAUAGCAACUGACUAAUGUCUUCGGUUGGGGCGACCACGGGGAAAAACAAAUCCCCCAUGUGGAACGGGAAACUUCCCUAAAACCACGAGGUACACCUCUAAGUCACAGUACUUCUGACCAAAGGAUCCGGCACUUAGCCGAUCAACGAACCAAGUUACCCUAGGGAUAACAGCGCAAUCCCCUCCGAGAGUCCUUAUCGACAAGGGGGUUUACGACCUCGAUGUUGGAUCAGGACAUCCUAAUGGUGCAGCCGCUAUUAAGGGUUCGUUUGUUCAACGAUUAAAGUCCUACGUGAUCUGAG
RNAcentral lists this ribosomal RNA (592 nucleotides) under Brachychalcinus copei. RNAcentral's name for it is "partial 16S large subunit ribosomal RNA". It matches the Rfam family "Bacterial large subunit ribosomal RNA", at positions 1808 to 2609 of the family's 2925-position model. The record is from RNAcentral. Lineage: Eukaryota; Metazoa; Chordata; Actinopteri; Characiformes; Acestrorhamphidae.